CCUACGGGAGGCAGCAGUGAGGAAUAUUGGUCAAUGGCCGCAAGCCUGAACCAGCCAAGUAGCGUGAAGGACGAAUGCGCCACGGAUUGUAAACUUCUUUUGUCAAGGGACAAAAUGAGGCACGAGUGCCUUCUCGAGGGUACUUGAAGAAAAAGCAUCGGCUAACUCCGUGCCAGCAGCCGCGGUAAUACGGAGGAUGCGAGCGUUAUCCGGAUUUAUUGGGUUUAAGGGGUGCGUAGGUGGGCUGUUAAGUCAGUGGUAAAAGCCUGGGGCUCAACCCCGUCUGGCCAUUGAAACUGGCGGUCUUGAGAGGACGAGAGGUAUGCGGAAUGCGUGGUGUAGCGGUGAAAUGCUUAGAUAUUACGCAGAACUCCGAUUGCGAAGGCAGCAUACCGGCGUCCAACUGACGCUGAGGCACGAAAGCGUGGGUAUCGAACAGGAUUAGAUACCCUUGUAGUC
This 459-nucleotide ribosomal RNA is filed under the name uncultured bacterium. RNAcentral describes it as "partial 16S ribosomal RNA". It matches the Rfam family "Bacterial small subunit ribosomal RNA", at positions 338 to 795 of the family's 1533-position model. The record is from RNAcentral.